This 272-nucleotide long non-coding RNA is filed under the name Nicotiana benthamiana. Its description in RNAcentral is "long non-coding RNA (NBEN_LNC017708)". Lineage: Eukaryota; Viridiplantae; Streptophyta; Magnoliopsida; Solanales; Solanaceae. The record is from RNAcentral.
UUUUUGCGUUCUGUAUCCAACCAGUCCCAAUGCUCUUGUGAGGAUUCGGCAAACUACUGAAGGUGAGGUCUCUUAGCUGGCCUUCCAGAUGACACUUCCUCUCUGUACCAAGCGUGGUAUCCGGGUGAAACUUCCCCUUUUUCCCGAUUCAGUACACAAGUAUCUACCUCUAGGUAUUGACAUUGGCUCCAGAUCUGGUGGACCCUUACUUCAGGGAAUUGGCCAUCAGGACCGAUAUCAAUCACUUGGGUACUAAGAUCCUAAUCUUUUGG